UGGGUUGUGGCUCAGCGGUAGAGCGCUCGCCUAGCAAGUGUGAGGCCCUGGGUUCCAUCCUCAGCACUACAU
This 72-nucleotide transfer RNA is filed under the name Ictidomys tridecemlineatus (thirteen-lined ground squirrel). RNAcentral's name for it is "Spermophilus tridecemlineatus (thirteen-lined ground squirrel) tRNA". It matches the Rfam family "tRNA". From Rfam's summary of the family: Transfer RNA (tRNA) molecules are approximately 80 nucleotides in length. Their secondary structure includes four short double-helical elements and three loops (D, anti-codon, and T loops). Further hydrogen bonds mediate the characteristic L-shaped molecular structure. tRNAs have two regions of fundamental functional importance: the anti-codon, which is responsible for specific mRNA codon recognition, and the 3' end, to which the tRNAs corresponding amino acid is attached (by aminoacyl-tRNA synthetases). tRNAs cope with the degeneracy of the genetic code in two manners: having more than one tRNA (with a specific anti-codon) for a particular amino acid; and 'wobble' base-pairing, i.e. permitting non-standard base-pairing at the 3rd anti-codon position. Lineage: Eukaryota; Metazoa; Chordata; Mammalia; Rodentia; Sciuridae. The record is from Rfam by way of RNAcentral.